CUAACGUCCGUCGUGAAGAGGGAAACAACCCAGACCGCCAGCUAAGGUCCCAAAGUCAUGGUUAAGUGGGAAACGAUGUGGGAAGGCCCAGACAGCCAGGAUGUUGGCUUAGAAGCAGCCAUCAUUUAAAGAAAGCGUAAUAGCUCACUGGUCGAGUCGGCCUGCGCGGAAGAUGUAACGGGGCUAAACCAUGCACCGAAGCUGCGGCAGCGACGCUUAUGCGUUGUUGGGUAGGGGAGCGUUCUGUAAGCCUGUGAAGGUGUGCUGUGAGGUAUGCUGGAGGUAUCAGAAGUGCGAAUGCUGACAUAAGUAACGAUAAAGCGGGUGAAAAGCCCGCUCGCCGGAAGACCAAGGGUUCCUGUCCAACGUUAAUCGGGGCAGGGUGAGUCGACCCCUAAGGCGAGGC
RNAcentral lists this ribosomal RNA (406 nucleotides) under Shigella flexneri. RNAcentral's name for it is "partial 23S ribosomal RNA". It matches the Rfam family "Bacterial large subunit ribosomal RNA", at positions 998 to 1402 of the family's 2925-position model. Lineage: Bacteria; Pseudomonadati; Pseudomonadota; Gammaproteobacteria; Enterobacterales; Enterobacteriaceae. The record is from RNAcentral.